AGUCGAACGAAGCGCUUAAACGGAUUUCUUCGGAUUGAAGUUUUUGCGACUGAGUGGCGGACGGGUGAGUAACGCGUGGGUAACCUGCCUCGUACAGGGGGAUAACAGUUAGAAAUGACUGCUAAUACCGCAUAAGCGCACAGUGCUGCAUGGCACAGUGUGAAAAACUCCGGUGGUAUGAGAUGGACCCGCGCCUGAUUAGCUAGUUGGUGGGGUAACGGCCUACCAAGGCGACGAUCAGUAGCCGGCCUGAGAGGGUGAACGGUCACAUUGGGACUGAGACACGGCCCAAACUCCUACGGGAGGCAGCAGUGGGGAAUAUUGCACAAUGGGGGAAACCCUGAUGCAGCGACGCCGCGUGAGCGAAGAAGUAUUUCGGUAUGUAAAGCUCUAUCAGCAGGGAAGAAAAUGACGGUACCUGACUAAGAAGCACCGGCUAAAUACGUGCCAGCAGCCGCGGUAAUACGUAUGGUGCAAGCGUUAUCCGGAUUUACUGGGUGUAAAGGGAGCGUAGACGGUUGUGUAAGUCUGAUGUGAAAGCCCGGGGCUCAACCCCGGGACUGCAUUGGAAACUAUGUAACUAGAGUGUCGGAGAGGUAAGCGGAAUUCCUAGUGUAGCGGUGAAAUGCGUAGAUAUUAGGAGGAACACCAGUGGCGAAGGCGGCUUACUGGACGAUCACUGACGUUGAGGCUCGAAAGCGUGGGGAGCAAACAGGAUUAGAUACCCUGGUAGUCCACGCCGUAAACGAUGACUACUAGGUGUCGGGGAGCAAAGCUCUUCGGUGCC
RNAcentral lists this ribosomal RNA (787 nucleotides) under uncultured bacterium. Its description in RNAcentral is "bacterial SSU rRNA". It matches the Rfam family "Bacterial small subunit ribosomal RNA", at positions 60 to 847 of the family's 1533-position model. The record is from RNAcentral.